GUCGAGGAUCUUCGGCAAUGGGCGCAAGCCUGACCGAGCGACGCCGCGUGUGCGAUGAAGGCCUUCGGGUUGUAAAGCACUGUCGAGGGGGAGGAAGACCCGCAAGGGUUUGACCUAUCCCUGGAGGAAGCACGGGCUAAGUUCGUGCCAGCAGCCGCGGUAAGACGAACCGUGCGAACGUUGUUCGGAUUCACUGGGCUUAAAGGGCGCGUAGGCGGCUUGCCAAGUCAGGGGUGAAAUCUUUCGGCUCAACCGGAAAAUUGCUUUUGAUACUGGCAAGCUGGAGGGAGGUAGGGGCAGAUGGAACUUCCGGUGGAGCGGUGAAAUGCGUAGAUAUCGGAAGGAACGCCGGUGGCGAAAGCGAUCUGCUGGAUCUUCACUGACGCUGAGGCGCGAAAGCCAGGGGAGCAAACGGGAUUAGAUACCCCGGUAGUCC
RNAcentral lists this ribosomal RNA (436 nucleotides) under uncultured bacterium. RNAcentral's name for it is "bacterial SSU rRNA". It matches the Rfam family "Bacterial small subunit ribosomal RNA", at positions 354 to 796 of the family's 1533-position model. The record is from RNAcentral.